UUCUUCCUCCUCAUCUCCGUCGCCCUCCAUUGCCAUUCAAUUUUACCUUAGAACCCUCCUUUUUUUGGUAUUUAGAUUGAUUCAACCCAAGAAACCAUCAAAUCACAUGAAUCUAAGAAAGAAAAUUUUAUGAGCAAAAUUGCAAGGAGCAAUCAAACCGUGAAUUUGAAAAAUCUAUUUGAAAGUUGCAGCCUGCAGGUACUUGUAUGGUUAUACACAUUUGUGUUUGUUUGUUUUUUUUGAAAAAAAAUGAGAUUGUGUUUAUCAUAUUGCAGAGUGAGGAAACGGUGAUGGAGAGAGAGAGAGAGAGAGAGAGAUGGGGGAUGGCGGUGGC
This 334-nucleotide long non-coding RNA is filed under the name Actinidia chinensis (golden kiwifruit). RNAcentral's name for it is "long non-coding RNA (ACHI_LNC005325)". The record is from RNAcentral. Lineage: Eukaryota; Viridiplantae; Streptophyta; Magnoliopsida; Ericales; Actinidiaceae.